Molecule: long non-coding RNA, 434 nt
Organism: Drosophila ficusphila
Lineage: Eukaryota; Metazoa; Arthropoda; Insecta; Diptera; Drosophilidae
Exons: 3
Source: RefSeq, a predicted model, not a curated record
CUUAUUUCCGGCUUCGGCCCACCUACACUCUUACGGCUCCAAGCCAAGUCUUUUCCAAUUGGCAGCCAACGAGACCAGACGUCUCAGUUUAAGAAGAAAACUAAAGGUGACUACCAACAGCAGCAAAUUAUAAAGCUUAAAGCUCAAAGCUGAGGAAACUGCAGAGGAGGAGAUUAUUUGCUGGUUUCUUUUUGGUUUUGCUAGUGAACAAAAAAAAAAAGGAAAAACUACUGCCACGUGCCAGGUCCAUCCAGGGGCUUGGCAGCGGAAUUUUUUUUGUGGCAGAUGGACAAAUUUUUUUGUAUGGAGAGGUUAAGGCCGUCCUGGGAAAAGUCAGCAGCCAGCGGAAAAUUUAGUAAAAGUGGAAAUUGGAAAUUAAAUUAGCCAAGAAAACCCAUGCUUAAAAAUAGUGCUUAAAAAUUAUGACUAAAAUU